GAUGAACGCUAGCGGCAGGCUUAACACAUGCAAGUCGAGGGGUAGAACACUUCGGUGUUUGAGACCGGCGCACGGGUGCGUAACGCGUAUGCAAUCUGCCUUGUACAAAGGGAUAGCCCAGAGAAAUUUGGAUUAAUACCUUAUAGUAUAUAGAUGUGGCAUCAUAUUUAUAUUAAAGAUUUAUCGGUACAAGAUGAGCAUGCGUCCCAUUAGCUAGUUGGUAUGGUAACGGCAUACCAAGGCAAUGAUGGGUAGGGGCCCUGAGAGGGAGAUCCCCCACACUGGUACUGAGACACGGACCAGACUCCUACGGGAGGCAGCAGUGAGGAAUAUUGGUCAAUGGGCGCAAGCCUGAACCAGCCAUGCCGCGUUCAGGAUGACGGUCCUAUGGAUUGUAAACUGCUUUUGUACGGGAAGAAACACUCCUACGUGUAGGAGCUUGACGGUACCGUAAGAAUAAGGAUCGGCUAACUCCGUGCCAGCCGCCGCAGUAA
Molecule: ribosomal RNA, 494 nt
Filed under: uncultured bacterium
Lineage: Bacteria
Description: partial 16S ribosomal RNA
Rfam family: Bacterial small subunit ribosomal RNA
Source: RNAcentral